GGUGGCCUACGGGACGCAGCAGUGGGGGAUAUUGCACAAUGGGGGAAACCCUGAUGCAGCGACGCCGCGUGGGGGAAGAAGCGCCUCGGCGCGUAAAGCCCUGUCAGCAGGGAAGAAAAUGACGGUACCUGAAGAAGAAGCCCCGGCUAACUAAGUGCCAGCAGCCGCGGAAAUACGUCGGGGGCAAGCGUUAUCCGGAUUUACUGGGUGUAAAGGGGGCGCAGACGGCGAUGCAAGCCAGGAGUGAAAGCCCGGGGCUCAACCCCGGGACUGC
Molecule: ribosomal RNA, 274 nt
Filed under: uncultured bacterium
Lineage: Bacteria
Description: partial 16S ribosomal RNA
Rfam family: Bacterial small subunit ribosomal RNA
Source: RNAcentral